Long non-coding RNA from Zerene cesonia (dogface butterfly), 273 nucleotides. RefSeq lists it as uncharacterized. The record is from RefSeq and is a predicted model, not a curated record. The transcript is spliced from 3 exons. NCBI's taxonomy places the organism in Eukaryota, Metazoa, Arthropoda, Insecta, Lepidoptera, Pieridae.
AUAAAUAGGGAAUCAUUUUGGUCCAAAUUCAUUAAGUGUACGCAAUUGUACGCUGCAUCUUCUGCUGACCAAACAAAAAUAUAUUUUUUUAACAUGAAACAUUUUUUACUAUCAAUCGUCGUAAUUCUAUUCAUCAUAAAUACAUGUAUAGCGGAGCCGAAAACAAUUGGAAGGUGGUGCAGUUGGUUGUUUGGAUGUUAUGAAGAGGUAUUGGACUAUAGCGAGUGUGAAGAAUUAUUUAUUGGAAAUGGGGAUCACAAUAGUAACAACUUC